CAGCAGCCACGGUAAUACGUAGGUCCCGAGCGUUGUCCGGAUUUAUUGGGCGUAAAGGGAGCGCAGGCGGUUUAGUAAGUCUGAAGUUAAAGGCUGUGGCUUAACCAUAGUACGCUUUGGAAACUGUUUAACUUGAGUGCAAGAGGGGAGAGUGGAAUUCCAUGUGUAGCGGUGAAAUGCGUAGAUAUAUGGAGGAACACCGGUGGCGAAAGCGGCUCUCUGGUCUGUAACUGACGCUGAGGCUCGAAAGCGUGGGGAGCGAACAGGAUUAGAUACCCCGGUAGUCCCUGUCUCUUAUACA
Molecule: ribosomal RNA, 301 nt
Filed under: uncultured bacterium
Lineage: Bacteria
Description: partial 16S ribosomal RNA
Rfam family: Bacterial small subunit ribosomal RNA
Source: RNAcentral